This 312-nucleotide ribosomal RNA is filed under the name uncultured Sphingomonadaceae bacterium. Its description in RNAcentral is "bacterial SSU rRNA". It matches the Rfam family "Bacterial small subunit ribosomal RNA", at positions 111 to 426 of the family's 1533-position model. Lineage: Bacteria; Pseudomonadati; Pseudomonadota; Alphaproteobacteria; Sphingomonadales; Sphingomonadaceae. The record is from RNAcentral.
UAACGCGUGGGAAUCUGCCCUGGAGUGGGGGAUAACCGAGGGAAACUUCGGCUAAUACCGCAUGACCCCGGCGAUCGAGAGAUUGUCGGGCAAAGAUUUAUCGCUCUGGGAGGGGCCCGCGUCGGAUUAGCUAGUUGGUGGGGUAACGGCCUACCAAGGCUUUGAUCCGUAGCUGGUCUGAGAGGAUGAUCAGCCACACUGGGACUGAGACACGGCCCAGACUCCUACGGGAGGCAGCAGUGGGGAAUAUUGGACAAUGGGCGCAAGCCUGAUCCAGCAAUGCCGCUUGUGUGAGGAAGGCCUUAGGGUUGU